UGUGGGGGCUGGCUUGCCUGCGAUAGCGGUGGAUCAGCUAAGGAUCAAUAAACUGACAGUCUGCUAUCGCAGGCAAGCCAGCUCCCACA
This 89-nucleotide unclassified non-coding RNA is filed under the name Pseudomonas sp. bs2935. The record is from RNAcentral. Lineage: Bacteria; Pseudomonadati; Pseudomonadota; Gammaproteobacteria; Pseudomonadales; Pseudomonadaceae.